CCUACGGGAGGCAGCAGUGAGGAAUAUUGGUCAAUGGGCUUACGCCUGAACCAGCCAAGUCGCGUGAGGGAAUAAGGCCCUACGGGUUGUAAACCUCUUUUGCCGGGGAGCAAGGGCCGCUACGUGUCCCGUCCCGGAGAGUACCCGGAGAAAAAGCAUCGGCUAACUCCGUGCCAGCAGCCGCGGUAAUACGGAGGAUGCGAGCGUUAUCCGGAUUUAUUGGGUUUAAAGGGUGCGUAGGCGGGCUUUCAAGUCAGCGGUAAAAUCGCGGGGCUCAACCUCGUUCCGCCGUUGAAACUGGCGGUCUUGAGUGGGCGAGAAGUAUGCGGAAUGCGUGGUGUAGCGGUGAAAUGCAUAGAUAUCACGCAGAACCCCGAUUGCGAAGGCAGCAUACCGGCGCCCUACUGACGCUGAGGCACGAAAGCGUGGGUAUCGAACAGGAUUAGAUACCCUUGUAGUC
Molecule: ribosomal RNA, 460 nt
Filed under: uncultured bacterium
Lineage: Bacteria
Description: partial 16S ribosomal RNA
Rfam family: Bacterial small subunit ribosomal RNA
Source: RNAcentral